CCCCACUCCCGAUGCGUCCGCCCCAACGCCGAUAGUCCUCGCCCCUCCCCUCCCCGUUGCGCCCACCCAUGCCCCCUCCGCGCCCGCGCCUCCCCUCAACCACCGCACCGAGAUCGCCGCCGAUCUGAGCUCCCCUCCCCGUUGCGCCCACCCAUGGUCGCUGCUUCGACUUGCUGUUGCUGCUGCUCCUGCACGACGACCAAUGAAGGGAACAACGUGGUCUGCGCGGGCAUGGUGGGCGCGUGGAAGGAGAAGUCGUUGAAGGCGCCGCCGACCGCAGCUCGGCUGUCGUCUUGCUGUCGUCUUGCUGAGACUGAGACGCGAUCAGGUCGGCGGCCUGCUUCCAGUCGAACCUCUGCGCCGGGAUGGCGCCGGUGGUGGGCGACGCGAAGAAGUUCGAGGAAGAGUGGAGCGGGACGGGCGAGUCCAGCAGCUCGGCGGGGCUGAGCCCGGGCGGGAUGGAGAAGUAGGAGGAGGGCGACAUCGGCGGCGGCGAGAUGGGCAGGCUGGGCGGCUGCACGGACUUGAACUUGGGCACGCCUACGCCGCCGCCCCUGGUGGCGCCGCGGUGGAACAGCCCCCUCGGUGAUGGUGGCCAACCCCAAGAUCUAUGUGGCCAAGGCCGUCGAUGCCUUUGUGGAGUUGGCGGAGGCGAGCAGGUUAAUUUUUAGGUACCAGAUCAUCUGAUUUCUCAGAAGCAAAAUGUUGUUUGGAGCUCAGUGACACCAUCUUGUAAUGCCUGUGAUUUUACGGGAAAUGGAGGAUCAUUCUGUCCAUCCCAUGUCUAAGUCUAACCAUGGCUCCUUGUCAGGAAAUGGUUAUGAGAUGAAACAUUCAGGCCAUAAAGUUUGCGAUUGGGAUUCAUCAUCGAAGUCUGAUCGGUCUCACCAAGAAGCAUCAGCAGCAAGUGAAAGCAGUCCAAAUGAACACACAUCGACUCAAUCAGACAAUGAUGAAGAUCAUGGGAAAGAUAAUCAGGACACAAUGAAGCCAGUAUUGUCCUUGGGGAAGGAAGGCUCUGCCUUUUUGGCCCCAAAAUUACAUUACAGCCCAUCUUUUGCUUGUAUUCCUUAUACUGUUGAUGCUUAUUAUAGUGGGGUUGGGGUCUUGACAGGAUAUGCUCCACAUGCCAUUGUCCAUCCCCAGCAAAAUGAUACAACGAACACUCCGGGUAUGUUACCUGUGGAACCUGCAGAAGAACCAAUAUAUGUUAAUGCAAAACAAUACCAUGCAAUCCUUAGGAGGAGGCAAACACGUGCUAAAUUGGAGGCCCAAAACAAGAUGGUGAAAAAUCGGAAGGCUGCAAAGGAGGGCGAGCCUUUUUGGGAUAGCCCUUGGGGCCGUGGAAGACCGGGAUGGCAUAUUGAAUGCAGCGCAAUGAGUGCUCACUAUUUAGGACAUGUAUUCGAUAUUCAUGGUGGGGGGAAAGAUUUGAUUUUUCCUCAUCAUGAGAAUGAGCUUGCACAAAGCCAAGCUGCUUAUCCUGAGAGUGAGGUGAAGUGCUGGAUGCAUAAUGGCUUUGUUAACAAGGAUGAUAAAAAAAUGGCAAAAUCAGAUAAUAACUUUUCACGAUUAGAGAUAUCACUGCUCUUUACCAUCCAUUGGCUUUAAGAUUUUUCUUGAUGCGCACUCAUUAUAGAUCAGAUGUGAACCAUUCUGAUCAAGCACUUGAGAUUGCAUCUGAUCGUGUCUAUUACAUUUAUCAGAUCCUGAAUACUUCCUUUGUCAAAGCUUUCACUUGUCUGAAGGAAGACGUCGGCCUUCUGCUUCUCCAUCACCAUCGUUAUCAUGCAACCUGCUGGAAUGCCACAGCGGGACAGGAGCAUGGGGAUGAGCAGGCGCAAGAUGAUAGCAAGUGGCGCCGGAUCCCGACGUUCGACGACUGGAACCUGCGGGACGACAUGCCCGUCACCCAAUACUUGCAAGCAGGGACUUCUUCAUCAUUGUGCCGCCGACAGAGAAGGACGACGACGAGGAUCUGUUCAAGGUGCCCCUGUGUUCCCUGCCAAGCCCUACAACUACAAGAAGGUGAAACAAAAUAGGACGCUGCAUUAGUUUCUCUCGCCAAUUAAUUACACUCAGGGGGAAAAAGUUUUCUUUCACCAGCUCUGAAGAUAGUAUCAGUUAACAUUGUUUCAUAUCUCCAUUUCCAUAUACAUUAUACCCAGUCGGCACUAGCGAGCGAUGAGAAAGAUACUGAACAAUUCUAUGAUCCAAGCAUGGAAUUAUAAUCAUUGAAACUC
Molecule: RNA transcript, 2243 nt
Organism: Zea mays
Lineage: Eukaryota; Viridiplantae; Streptophyta; Magnoliopsida; Poales; Poaceae
Gene name: nuclear transcription factor Y subunit A-3 - tRNA synthase pseudogene
Exons: 12
Source: RefSeq, marked validated